RNAcentral lists this long non-coding RNA (794 nucleotides) under Mus musculus (house mouse). RNAcentral describes it as "predicted gene, 48189". The record is from RNAcentral. Lineage: Eukaryota; Metazoa; Chordata; Mammalia; Rodentia; Muridae.
AGAGAACGAGGAAUGCUCUGUGACUACAGCUCUCAGGCUUGUGCCCUGUCUGUUCCUAAGAGUUCUGUUUCUGAGGUUUAGGAUGGGGUUUUGUGCAGCCAGUUCCUGUGUGCAACAGGCUUAGGGACCGCUGCCAUGAACCUCCGGGAGGGAGCGGGAGGAGUUCUAGGAAAGGCUUCUUUUGUUUGAGAAAGCUCUUCUCAGGGGCAGGGGAUGGUGGGUUGAUGGGGCAGAGAUUGGAGUGGAAGGCUGAGUCAUGAGAACUGAUGGAGCCUGAGAUAUGGGGCUGCCGAGGCUUCCUGUGUGUGCCAGGUGUGGCAGCCUCUGCCAUGCCUGCUGGGAGGGGCUGGUGGGCGACCACCUCUCUCUCCCUGUUCUCGCCUCAGCAGCAAGGUGCCUUACUAGUCAUUUGGAUUACCCAUUCUGAGAGGAAAAUAGAAACCAGCUGGGGUUGGUUUUGAUCAGCGUGCCCUCUCUGGAGGACAGGGGAGUGUCAAGGACCUACAGACCUCGUCUUGACAGCCAGCUCCCAGCUUGGGAAUCCUGCUUGCUUCUAGCUUCUCAUCCUGCUAGGAAACAGUGAGAGCAGCCUGCCUCCCGCUUUCCAUUAACUAAAAGACCACAUAAGCCUCAAAGAAAGGACCUGCCAAGUCUUCUUCCCCAGUCAAAAUGCUCAGAGUCCAAGCAUUUGGUUUGGAAGAAUAAGGCCAAAGACUCACAUUGUUCCAACCGAAGGGCCAGCUGCUGGCUUUUGCACAAUGAGCUUCAUUGUUGAGUAAAUGGAGUCUCUCAGG